This is a long non-coding RNA of Gorilla gorilla gorilla (western lowland gorilla), 892 nucleotides long. RefSeq lists it as uncharacterized. The transcript is spliced from 4 exons. NCBI's taxonomy places the organism in Eukaryota, Metazoa, Chordata, Mammalia, Primates, Hominidae. The record is from RefSeq and is a predicted model, not a curated record.
UUCACACCAAACCAAGUCUCACACUGACGAGCCUCCUGGUCACCGUGCAGGGCAGGCAUUAUGAUUUAUUCAUGGUAGCACCCAGCACACGGGACAGACUCUAUAAAUGCUCACGGAAUGGAAUGGACACCAUGGGGGUCCUUUCUAAGCUACCCUGGAGUGGUACUGUCCCACACUGCUGGCAACCCCAGAAGUGCCAUCAGUGACCCCGAACUCUGCUGAAGGCCUACACCUGCUGAAGAAGCUCAUGCCCAGUUUGAACCCACUCAUGACUGAGCCCAAGGACAGUCUUGUCUGUGCCAAGGGUCCUGGCGGCUGCGUUGAAGGACUGAAGGGGAAAAAAAUCACCAUUUUGCUUUCUCCACUCUUGACUGUGAAGUUUAAUAUAAGUUCCUUACACAUGGUCUCCCCAGAAAGCACUGAGGACUGAUUCAUCACUUCAAGCAGUCAAUUAGAAUCCGGGAAAGCCUCUCUCUGGCCUCACCUUACUUCCUGUACCAGGAGAGAUGCUCAUUAAUAGUAAGAAAGAGUUGAUGGGAUUAGAGUCUGGAAGUGACAACCUCUCCUGAACCUGAACUCAUUGAUUUCUUCGUUUUACAAAACAGUGUUCUUGAGAAAAAUAAACAAAAAAAGGAAAUAAUACAACUAAUAACUCCAAGGUCUAAAUUUAAACCAGCUGUAUCUCAUAACAACAGAAGCUGCAAUGGCCAACAUACGUCAUUUAUAAAACGCCAACUUAUGUGGAUGGGGAUUGGAAUUUCUUGGCAUAAUGCAAAGAGCAUAUAAAAAAUGAGUACGGAAAAGACUACUGUUUGUGUGUAUAUGUAAUUAUUACAUAUAUUCUUAAAUGAUAUUUAAUAAAUAAUCAAAUGAUUAAAUAAUAUAUACUAUA